Molecule: long non-coding RNA, 212 nt
Filed under: Mytilus galloprovincialis (Mediterranean mussel)
Lineage: Eukaryota; Metazoa; Mollusca; Bivalvia; Mytilida; Mytilidae
Source: RNAcentral
CUGGGCCUUUUAUAGCUUACUAUGCGGUAUGGGUUUUGCUCAUUAUUUAAGGCAUACGGCGACCUAUAGUUGUUAAUUUUUGUGUAUUGUUGAGAGUUGUCUCAUUGGCAAUCAUACCUUGCACAUCUACUGAUUUAAUAGAGACAUACACUACGAAUGAAAAUCACAUUACUAUGUAGCUUAACGUCGUCAACUUUUCAUUACCGUGCAGG